This 750-nucleotide ribosomal RNA is filed under the name Oerskovia enterophila. Its description in RNAcentral is "bacterial SSU rRNA". It matches the Rfam family "Bacterial small subunit ribosomal RNA", at positions 93 to 855 of the family's 1533-position model. Lineage: Bacteria; Bacillati; Actinomycetota; Actinomycetes; Micrococcales; Cellulomonadaceae. The record is from RNAcentral.
CAGUGGCGAACGGGUGAGUAACACGUGAGCAACCUGCCCCAGACUUCGGGAUAAGCCUUGGAAACGAGGUCUAAUACUGGAUAUGAGGUCACAUCGCAUGGUGUGGUCUGGAAAGAUUUAUCGGUCUGGGAUGGGCUCGCGGCCUAUCAGCUUGUUGGUGGGGUAGUGGCCUACCAAGGCGACGACGGGUAGCCGGCCUGAGAGGGCGACCGGCCACACUGGGACUGAGACACGGCCCAGACUCCUACGGGAGGCAGCAGUGGGGAAUAUUGCACAAUGGGCGCAAGCCUGAUGCAGCGACGCCGCGUGAGGGAUGAAGGCCUUCGGGUUGUAAACCUCUUUCAGCAGGGAAGAAGCGCAAGUGACGGUACCUGCAGAAGAAGCGCCGGCUAACUACGUGCCAGCAGCCGCGGUAAUACGUAGGGCGCAAGCGUUGUCCGGAAUUAUUGGGCGUAAAGAGCUCGUAGGCGGUCUGUCGCGUCUGGUGUGAAAACUCAAGGCUCAACCUUGAGCUUGCAUCGGGUACGGGCAGACUAGAGUGCGGUAGGGGAGACUGGAAUUCCUGGUGUAGCGGUGGAAUGCGCAGAUAUCAGGAGGAACACCGAUGGCGAAGGCAGGUCUCUGGGCCGCAACUGACGCUGAGGAGCGAAAGCAUGGGGAGCGAACAGGAUUAGAUACCCUGGUAGUCCAUGCCGUAAACGUUGGGCACUAGGUGUGGGGCUCAUUCCACGAGUUCCGUGCCGCAGCAAA